Non-coding RNA from Ictidomys tridecemlineatus (thirteen-lined ground squirrel), 377 nucleotides. The record is from RefSeq and is a predicted model, not a curated record. NCBI's taxonomy places the organism in Eukaryota, Metazoa, Chordata, Mammalia, Rodentia, Sciuridae.
ACAGAAAUUUCUGACUGAAGAUAGAAAUUUUAGAAAUAUGUGUUCCUAUAAUGAUUUGGAUUUGAAAUGUCUCCCUUCAAAGUUCAAUUCAGCAAUAUUCAGAGGUCAAAUAGAUAAGUACAUCUCUGAAUAUGGAUAACUGAUCUUCUUCAGAAGAUAGACUAUACUUUCAUCUGUUUCAGGGCCAUUGUGUUUGCUUUUUGUAAACUGUUUCCUGCUAUUCAACAGUGAUGAGAUUUACAUCAAGUCACUCACCAUAGGUGUUAUUGUUCUUCAUGGUAAAGCAAUCUAGACUCUGAUAAGUUUUCUAAGUAUUUUAAAGCUACUGCUCAGCUGUCUUCUGCUUUGCAUAAUUGCUUACAAAAAGACUGCUUUCA